AUUGAACGCUGGCGGCAGGCCUAACACAUGCAAGUCGAACGAGCGGCGGACGGGUGAGUAAUGUAUGGGGACUGCCCGAUAAAGGGGGAUAACUACUGGAAACGGUGGCUAAUACCGCAUACUAUCGGAUAACCCAUAUGGGAUUGGCUACUAGUUGGGGGAAAGGCUCACCUAGGCGACUAUCUAUAGCUGGUCUGAGAGGCUGAUCAGCCACACUGGGACUGGGACACGGCCCAGACUCCUACGGAGGCAGCAGUGGGGAAUAUUGCACAAUGGGCGCAAGCCUGAUGCAGCCAUUCCGCGUGUAUGAAGAAGGCCUUAGGGUUGGAAAGUACUUGCAGCGGGGAGGCGUUACCCGCAGAAGAAGCACCGGCUAACUCCGUGCCAGCAGCCGCGGUAACUC
RNAcentral lists this ribosomal RNA (403 nucleotides) under uncultured bacterium. RNAcentral's name for it is "partial 16S ribosomal RNA". It matches the Rfam family "Bacterial small subunit ribosomal RNA", at positions 30 to 526 of the family's 1533-position model. The record is from RNAcentral.